UGGGGAAUCUUGCGCAAUGGGCGAAAGCCUGACGCAGCGACGCCGCGUGGGGGAUGAAGGCUCUCGGGUUGUAAACCCCUUUCGGCAGGGAAGAAGCGACAGUGACGGUACCUGCAGAAGAAGUCCCGGCCAACUACGUGCCAGCAGCCGCGGUAAAACGUAGGGGACGAGCGUUGUCCGGAUUUAUUGGGCGUAAAGAGCGCGCAGGCGGCUUCGCAAGUCGGGUGUGAAAAUCCGGGGCUCAACCCCGGACCUGCAUUCGAUACUGCGUGGCUAGAGGCAGGCAGGGGAGAUCGGAAUUCCUGGUGUAGCGGUGAAAUGCGCAGAUAUCAGGAGGAACACCGGUGGCGAAGGCGGAUCUCUGGGCCUGUCCUGACGCUCAGGCGCGAAAGCUAGGGGAGCGAACAGGAUUAGAUACCCCGGUAGUCC
RNAcentral lists this ribosomal RNA (429 nucleotides) under uncultured bacterium. Its description in RNAcentral is "bacterial SSU rRNA". It matches the Rfam family "Bacterial small subunit ribosomal RNA", at positions 355 to 796 of the family's 1533-position model. The record is from RNAcentral.